UGGAAUGAAAUGUAACACUAAGCCUAGUAUUAAACUUAACACUCCAAAUAACAACUUGCUGGAGUGUCCUGGCAAUAUUUCUAGAGAAAGAAGUCACACCGUUUAUAAAAUGUUUUGACAACGUAUAUGGGUCUUGCUGAGCACCCACUGCCUUGUCCUCUACUAUUAGUUAACACUGAGAUAAUCCCAGCUGUGACGGGUCCCCUGUGCCCCAACUGAGCACACCCAUCCAAACAACUUUUUCCUGCCGCCAAACCAGACCGUUCACAAAGAUUCAGUCAGCUAACACCCCUGCCCCAAGAACAGCAGACACACACAGCUUGAGGGUAUAACAGGAACUAAUUUUUAUUAGACACACCCAGGUAUUUGUACAGAAGUAAAAUCAUUAGUAAACCCACAAGGGUUUGGGACAGCCUAUACAAACAACCAAUCACACUAAGCAUAUUAAUAACCAAUAGAACAUCACAGAACAUCUACUUUGCCUACACAGUAAAACAUUAUACCUCAGGGAAAAGGAUUAACACACAGUCAACAAUAGGCAACUUAUGUAAUUGAGUCACAAAGGGGAAAGCCCCAGCCCCCACCCAUGUGUCCACACAGUCUCUGGUUUGGCACCAUCUUGUCUCUCCAUAUUGUUGCUAGGUCUAAGACUGUGCGCCCCACAUAGCAGCUCCC
Pelobates cultripes (western spadefoot toad) is the source of this 675-nucleotide non-coding RNA. NCBI's taxonomy places the organism in Eukaryota, Metazoa, Chordata, Amphibia, Anura, Pelobatidae. The record is from the annotation of a GenBank genome assembly.